AGCGAACGCUGGCGGCAGGCUUAACACAUGCAAGUCGAGCGGGCACUUUCGGGUGUCAGCGGCGGACGGGUGAGUAACGCGUGGGAACGUGCCCUCUGGUUCGGAAUAACUCAGGGAAACUUGAGCUAAUACCGGAUACGCCCUUUUGGGGAAAGGCUUGCUGCCGGAGGAUCGGCCCGCGUCUGAUUAGCUAGUUGGUGAGGUAACGGCUCACCAAGGCGACGAUCAGUAGCUGGUCUGAGAGGAUGAUCAGCCACACUGGGACUGAGACACGGCCCAGACUCCUACGGGAGGCAGCAGUGGGGAAUAUUGGACAAUGGGCGCAAGCCUAAUCCAGCCAUGCCGCGUGAGUGAUGAAGGCCUUAGGGUUGUAAAGCUCUUUUAUCCGGGACGAUAAUGACGGUACCGGAGGAAUAAGCCCCGGCUAACUUCGUG
Molecule: ribosomal RNA, 435 nt
Filed under: uncultured bacterium
Lineage: Bacteria
Description: partial 16S ribosomal RNA
Rfam family: Bacterial small subunit ribosomal RNA
Source: RNAcentral